This 186-nucleotide microRNA precursor is filed under the name Oryza glumipatula. RNAcentral describes it as "MIR812 microRNA precursor family". It matches the Rfam family "MIR812 microRNA precursor family". Lineage: Eukaryota; Viridiplantae; Streptophyta; Magnoliopsida; Poales; Poaceae. The record is from Rfam by way of RNAcentral.
AAUAAUUACAGUUUUAUACUAUUCACGUUCAACGUUUGAUCGUUCGUCUUAUUUAAAAAAAAUUUAUAAUUAAUAUUUUUAUUGCUAAAACAUGAAUAGCGCUUUAUGUGUUACUAAAUAUUUUUAAAUUUUUUAUAUAUUUUUUAAAUAAGAUAAAUGGUUAAAUGUUGUGUAUGAAUAUCCACG